RNAcentral lists this ribosomal RNA (502 nucleotides) under uncultured bacterium. Its description in RNAcentral is "bacterial SSU rRNA". It matches the Rfam family "Bacterial small subunit ribosomal RNA", at positions 28 to 526 of the family's 1533-position model. The record is from RNAcentral.
GAUGAACGCUGGCGGCGUGCUUAACACAUGCAAGUCGAACGGAGCACCCCUGAAAGAGUUUUCGGACAAUGGAAGGGAAUGCUUAGUGGCGGACGGGUGAGUAACGCGUGAGGAACUUGCCUCGGAGUGGGGAAUAACACAUGGAAACGUGUGCUAAUACCGCAUAAUGCAGUUGGGUCGCAUGACUCUGACUGCCAAAGAUUUAUCGCUCUGAGAUGGCCUCGCGUCUGAUUAGCUAGUUGGUGGGGUAAAGGCCUACCAAGGCGACGAUCAGUAGCCGGACUGAGAGGUUGACCGGCCACAUUGGGACUGAGAUACGGCCCAGACUCCUACGGGAGGCAGCAGUGGGGAAUAUUGGGCAAUGGGCGCAAGCCUGACCCAGCAACGCCGCGUGAAGGAAGAAGGCUUUCGGGUUGUAAACUUCUUUUAUUCGGGACGAAGAAAGUGACGGUACCGAAUGAAUAAGCCACGGCUAACUACGUGCCAGCCGCCGCGGUAACAC